RNAcentral lists this ribosomal RNA (253 nucleotides) under uncultured bacterium. RNAcentral describes it as "partial 16S ribosomal RNA". It matches the Rfam family "Bacterial small subunit ribosomal RNA", at positions 524 to 776 of the family's 1533-position model. The record is from RNAcentral.
UCCAGAGGGUGCGAGCGUUGUUCGGAAUUAUUGGGCGUAAAGGGCGCGUAGGCGGUGCGGUAAGUCACCUGUGAAAUCUCCUGGCUCAACUGGGAGCUUGCAGGCGAAACUGCCGUGCUGGAGUGUGGGAGAGGUGAGUGGAAUUCCCGGUGUAGCGGUGAAAUGCGUAGAUAUCAAGCGGAACACCAGUGGCGAAGGCGAGUCCCUGGACAACUCCUGACACUGAGGCACGAAAGCUAGGGGAGCAAACAGG